UAGUUGGUGGGGUAAAGGCCUACCAAGGCGACGAUCUGUAGCGGGUCUGAGAGGAUGAUCCGCCACACUGGAACUGAGACACGGUCCAGACUCCUACGGGAGGCAGCAGUGGGGAAUUUUGGACAAUGGGGGCAACCCUGAUCCAGCCAUGCCGCGUGAGUGAAGAAGGCCUUCGGGUUGUAAAGCUCUUUCGUCCGGGAAGAAAUCGCACAGGCUAAUACUCUGUGUGGAUGACGGUACCGGAAUAAGAAGCACCGGCUAACUACGUGCCAGCAGCCGCGGUAAUACGUAGGGUGCGAGCGUUAAUCGGAAUUACUGGGCGUAAAGCGUGCGCAGGCGGUUUUGUAAGACAGGCGUGAAAUCCCCGGGCUCAACCUGGGAACUGCGCUUGUGACUGCAAGGCUAGAGUACGGCAGAGGGGGGUGGAAUUCCACGUGUAGCAGUGAAAUGCGUAGAGAUGUGGAGGAACACCGAUGGCGAAGGCAGCCCCCUGGGCCGAUACUGACGCUCAUGCACGAAAGCGUGGGUAGCAAACAGGAUUAGAUACCCUGGUAGUCCACGCCCUAAACGAUGUCAACUAGGUGUUGGGUGGGUAAAACCAUUUAGUACCGUAGCUAACGCGUGAAGUUGACCGCCUGGGGAGUACGGCCGCAAGGUUAAAACUCAAAGGAAUUGACGGGGACCCGCACAAGCGGUGGAUGAUGUGGAUUAAUUCGAUGCAACGCGAAAAACCUUGCCUACCCUUGACAUGUCCGGAAUCCCUGAGAGAUUGGGGAGUGCCCGAAAGGGAAUCGGAACACAGGUGCUGCAUGGCUGUCGUCAGCUCGUGCCGUGAGAUGUUGGGUUAAGUCCCGCAACGAGCGCAACCCUUGUCGUUAAUUGCCAUCAUUUAGUUGGGCACUUUAGCGAGACUGCCGG
Molecule: ribosomal RNA, 918 nt
Filed under: uncultured bacterium
Lineage: Bacteria
Description: bacterial SSU rRNA
Rfam family: Bacterial small subunit ribosomal RNA
Source: RNAcentral